Bubalus bubalis (water buffalo) is the source of this 930-nucleotide long non-coding RNA. RefSeq lists it as uncharacterized. The record is from RefSeq and is a predicted model, not a curated record. The transcript has 3 exons. Lineage: Eukaryota; Metazoa; Chordata; Mammalia; Artiodactyla; Bovidae.
GCCUGGAGAAUCCCAUGGACAGAGGAGCCUGGCGGGCUACAGUCCAUGGGGUCGCUCAGAGUUGGACACGACUGAAGUAACAACACACACAAGAGAAAGAAGCCAAUCUGAAAAGACUACGAACUCUGUGACGUUCUCAAAAAGGCAAAUAUGGACACAGUAAAAAGGCAAGCUGUGCUUUGGUGACGAGCCAAGGAAAAUAUCCACUGAAUACAAACCAGGCUCCCAGAACAUGUCCAGCGAAGUGCACAGGAAACACUCUGUCCUCCACGAGCGACCGCUGAAGGCAGCCUCUCCUCUCUGCUUCCUCGAGGCCCCAGCCGCAGCAUCAAAAGGUACAUGAAAAUGCUCCUGGAAGCAACAUGGCAGCAUCGCACGGCACUCAAGACGCCAGGAGGCCUGUUUCCAGGCCGGCUUACCCCAGCCUUGCCUCAACUUCCAUCAGCCGCUCUCUCUGGGAAAGUUUCCUGCCCGGAGCUGCAUUUCCGCCCCCUCCAGGAGGGCACCGUUUCUCGGAUCAUCUUUCUGUAACAGUUGUGUCUCCUCCUGAGCUGCCUCAAAACAAAGCUGUGGGCUCUGAUGCCCUCACAGGGACAGAACAGAAAUGUAUUAUCUCGGUUCUGGAGGCCAGAUGUCCAAACUCUGGGUGUCAGCAGGGCCCCACCCCCUUGAAGCCCUCGGGGAUCCUCUCACCCCUGUGGCUCCUGCUGCUGUUCCUUGGCUUGCGGGGGCUUGUCUCCAACCCACUGGCUUCACGUGGAGGACUGUGUGUCUCCCGUGUUCACACUGUCCUCCCACUGCGUGUGUGCUUAUCACUGUGUUCGUGAAAUACAGCUAGGACUUAUAUAUUUUUAAUAUAUCAUAUGCACCUACUGUUUCAGAGACUUUUCUGGAAGUCUCCAGGAAACAGACUUUUUCCUCCUGAACACA